UACGAAGGGGGCUAGCGUUGCUCGGAAUGACUGGGCGUAAAGGGCGCGUAGGCGGUUUGGACAGUCAGAUGUGAAAUUCCUGGGCUCAACCUGGGGGCUGCAUUUGAUACGUUCGGACUAGAGUGGGGAAGAGGGUCGUGGAAUUCCCAGUGUAGAGGUGAAAUUCGUAGAUAUUGGGAAGAACACCGGUGGCGAAGGCGGCGACCUGGUCCUUGACUGACGCUGAGGCGCGAAAGGCGUGGGGAGCAAACAGG
This 254-nucleotide ribosomal RNA is filed under the name uncultured bacterium. Its description in RNAcentral is "partial 16S ribosomal RNA". It matches the Rfam family "Bacterial small subunit ribosomal RNA", at positions 524 to 776 of the family's 1533-position model. The record is from RNAcentral.